UGACAUAUGUAUGAGUGAGUAUGAGAACUAGAACCGCAAUCAAAUCUUAAAAGCCUAAGUAUUGAAUCUUUGUUAGAAGAUACAAAGACAAGGACUCAUACGGACUUCGACUACACCAUCAAAGCUUUGAAAACC
This 135-nucleotide small RNA is filed under the name Arabidopsis thaliana (thale cress). RNAcentral describes it as "ATSL270750". The record is from RNAcentral. Lineage: Eukaryota; Viridiplantae; Streptophyta; Magnoliopsida; Brassicales; Brassicaceae.